AAAGCUUCCUGUGAACCAAAGCUAAAUACUAAAACAAACUCUCUCGAUUGCUAUGGCAGCUUCAUAAUGGAGCUCACCUUCCAGCAGUCCUAAAUAUGCAGAGUUCCUGGUGAAGGGCCUUGGGUGUUGAUUCCAGGAGGCUAAUAAUGAGGAGUGAGGGAAGGGGGCCAGGGCCACGAGGGUUAUCUCACAGUCCCAGAUGCUGGAUAAGUUGGAGGAGGCAGAAUCACUUUUGGAUGACAUUCAGAAAGUCCUGAAUGCUUAUUGGGAGAAGAAAAGACUCUCCUUUCCAAGGUGUGGCAUCUCUUCCCUUGCCCGUCCAGUGAUGAUCACAGACAGUCUGCCAGCAUCUCGUGAGACAAAGGAUUCGCUCCUGAGCCCCACCACACCUAAAAAAAAUGCUUUGAAGGGCUUGCCAAGCUCACUUUUAAUCAUGGGAAAGAAAUUACCCACAUGGAGUCAGCAGAAAAUGAAAAAGUGGGCCUCGUGCUGAGAUAAUUCCAGCAAGUGCCAAGGGGCUAGUUGAGAUAUGGCUUCAUGAGGUGAAUAUCUUUAGCUCUUACUUAGGGUUUAGUUACUGUAUAAUCAUUCUCUCUUUUAGGAGCAAUGAAUAUCCCAAGUGUGUUUCCUAACCAAAGCUCUGUCUCUCUCCAAGCAUUUCUCGGGAUAGUGACGGAUUCCAUAGGAAAUGGGGGCUCUGGGGCCCUGUUGUGGUUUUCUUCUACUCAGGACAAGUUUGCAAAUAAGCAGAAUCUCAUUGAGCGACAACCCCAAGCCAGUGACUGCCACUAGCUGUGUGUAUUUGUCUAUCUGUUUGAGUAUUUGUCUAGUACUUUAUGUCUCCAUGUGUAUAUAUGUAUCUUUGUUCAUGUCCUCGUCCCCUCCUUAGGGGAAUAUGUUAGGAGGAUUGGAUAGCAGGUGGGUUUUGUCUGACCUGGGGUGGGGGGAGUGGUUGGGGAAGGACCAAAGGUGUGAUUUUUUUGGGGGGGUGGGGAGAAGGAGAAAAGGUGCGUGUCACCUUGAUAAUUAAUGAUAAAUCUUAAUUUUCAAUCCAUGUUAAAGGAGAGAGGGGGGACAUCCCCUGAGGACACUAACCUACCCCACCUUCCCUUUGGGGGACCACAAUUCCAAUUAAACAUCAGUUUCAGUGUGAAAUUGGUUUGAC
RNAcentral lists this long non-coding RNA (1165 nucleotides) under Vombatus ursinus (common wombat). RNAcentral describes it as "lncRNA (ENSVURG00010024140.1)". The stretch from base 350 to 543 matches the Rfam family "Rhabdomyosarcoma 2 associated transcript conserved region 9". Lineage: Eukaryota; Metazoa; Chordata; Mammalia; Diprotodontia; Vombatidae. The record is from RNAcentral.